Molecule: long non-coding RNA, 714 nt
Organism: Monopterus albus (swamp eel)
Lineage: Eukaryota; Metazoa; Chordata; Actinopteri; Synbranchiformes; Synbranchidae
Exons: 3
Source: RefSeq, a predicted model, not a curated record
CCCCCUUUUCCUUUUGCAAGUUUAUCUUGCUGCAGUUGCUUUUGUAAAAGCUUGUCAACAGUUUGACUGUGUCACUUCACUACGGCUUUGAGAAGAAAUGUCAGUUUGUUUCCCAGUGCUGCUGCCAUGUUAGACAAAAAAAAAAGCCAAACUUUAGUGAAAAGUGUUUGGUUAUCUUGAAUCUUUAUGACUGCAACAUGUAGAGAGAGAAGAAGCAGAGUAACUGGAGGAAAAUAGCUGAAGAAAUGGAGUUCCUGCCUGAAAGCCUUAUUCUCCACUGAGGAUCAUUCACCCAGAAAUCACUGCUUCAUUUUAACAAGGUGGCACCAAGGGUGGCCAAUCAAAUUCUGGAGGCGGCUGGCGCCACCCCCUUGGCUCUACUCAUGACUGGAACCUGCUGUUACUUAUGAAGAAGAAGUAGAAGACUAGAAUAACAUCUUGUUGGGUCCUUGGGAUAAAGAUUUGUUGUUGGGCUCCCACUGACCCCCACUAUGUAUGACAGUGUCUUUAUUUCUCUUGACAACCAGAAACCAAUUUAAUUAGUUCACUGAAAGAAAAUUUAAUGGCAGCAAUUCUGACAACUGCUUAACCGUUUAAAUGAUUAUUAGGCAGUGUCAAAAAUUCACUUGUUCCAGCUUCUCAAAUGUGAAUAUUUGCUAAUUAUACAGGUGCAUGAGAGUAAUGUGUUGGUGUUGUUGACUGCUGUUCAUACAA